CCUACGGGCGGCAGCAGUGGGGAAUAUUGGACAAUGGGGGCAACCCUGAUCCAGCCAUGCCGCGUGUGUGAAGAAGGCCCUCGGGUUGUAAAGCACUUUCAGUGAGGAAGAACGCCUGGUGGUUAAUACCCAUCAGGAAAGACAUCACUCACAGAAGAAGCACCGGCUAACUCCGUGCCAGCAGCCGCGGUAAUACGGAGGGUGCGAGCGUUAAUCGGAAUUACUGGGCGUAAAGCGCGCGUAGGUGGCUUGAUAAGCCGGUUGUGAAAGCCCCGGGCUCAACCUGGGAACGGCAUCCGGAACUGUCAAGCUAGAGUGCAGGAGAGGAAGGUAGAAUUCCCGGUGUAGCGGUGAAAUGCGUAGAGAUCGGGAGGAAUACCAGUGGCGAAGGCGGCCUUCUGGACUGACACUGACACUGAGGUGCGAAAGCGUGGGUAGCAUACAGGAUUAGAUACCCCUGUAGUC
RNAcentral lists this ribosomal RNA (465 nucleotides) under Vreelandella stevensii. RNAcentral describes it as "partial 16S ribosomal RNA". It matches the Rfam family "Bacterial small subunit ribosomal RNA", at positions 338 to 795 of the family's 1533-position model. Lineage: Bacteria; Pseudomonadati; Pseudomonadota; Gammaproteobacteria; Oceanospirillales; Halomonadaceae. The record is from RNAcentral.